AAUUUUCAACCCAGGGCUGAGUUCAACCCCAGGGUUGAAAUUUCAACCCUGCUAGCUGAAUUCAACCCCGGGGUUGAACUCAGCCCUGGGUUGAAAU
Paramuricea clavata is the source of this 97-nucleotide non-coding RNA. Lineage: Eukaryota; Metazoa; Cnidaria; Anthozoa; Malacalcyonacea; Plexauridae. The record is from the annotation of a GenBank genome assembly.